AGAGCGAACGCUGGCGGCAGGCCUAACACAUGCAAGUCGAGCGCGUGUAGCAAUACACGAGCGGCAGACGGGAGAGUAACACGUGGGAACGCGCCCUUCGGUUCGGAAUAACUCAGGGAAACUUGAGCUAAUACCGGAUACGCCCUUACGGGGAAAGAUUAUUGCCGAAGGAACGGCCCGCGUCCGAUUAGCUAGUUGGUGAGGUAACGGCUCACCAAGGCGACGAUCGGUAGCUGGUCUGAGAGGAUGACCAGCCUCACUGGGACUGAGACACGGCCCAGACUCCUACGGGAGGCAGCAGUGGGGAAUAUUGGACAAUGGGCGCAAGCCUGAUCCAGCCAUGCCGCGUGGAUGAUGAAGGCCUUAGGGUUGUAAAGUCCUUUUAACGGGGAAGAUAAUGACGGUACCCGUAGAAUAAGCCCCGGCUAACUUCGUGCCAGCAGCCGC
Molecule: ribosomal RNA, 447 nt
Filed under: uncultured bacterium
Lineage: Bacteria
Description: SSU rRNA
Rfam family: Bacterial small subunit ribosomal RNA
Source: RNAcentral